UAGACCGUAAAAAGUCUUUUAGA
RNAcentral lists this transfer RNA (23 nucleotides) under Eleutherodactylus chlorophenax. RNAcentral's name for it is "partial tRNA-Phe". The record is from RNAcentral. Lineage: Eukaryota; Metazoa; Chordata; Amphibia; Anura; Eleutherodactylidae.